AUGGCCUAAUUUCUUCAAGCACCUGGCACAAUUAACAUGUAUAUGAUACGCUAACUAGAUUAUGAUACAGCAAGUGGGUGCAAUUUUUGAGUAUGUACUUUGUCUAUCAUUGGGUGACGACAUGUGCAAAAGAGUAUAUGCCAUUUGACAGGUACAUGGAUCUUCAUGUAAAGCAGCCUUGAAUCACAAACUAUCUCAACUAGAAAUUCCAGGGAUUCUAAGGGAAAAAAGUAAACCAUUAUUAAAAAGCCUGUUGCUUUUCUCACCCCCUUGGACUUGACAAAAAUGCCCCUACACCAAAAAUGUAUGCAGUAUAAAUUCUUUUCAAAGUUAAGCUACCAUAAGAAUUUAUUCAUAUCUCUAAUAAAGUAACUUAUGCAAACGUUAUAGCACCAAAACAAUUACAAAAGUCAAAGCAGCUCUUUUUGUUUUGGUUGGUGGCCAGUUUUUGUGGCCCAUAGAAGCCAGCCAGUUGCCUAAAUAAUAGAGGUAUCACUCCCACUGCAUAAAAUCUUCCUUUUAUAUGUUCACAAACACUAAUUUCCCUAAUUUAAGCAGCUAUAUAGAUUGAUGGAGAGUAAAUGUCCACUCUGGCUGCGUUUGGUGCACAAGAAAUGCAAAGGGACACAACAAGUUAAAUAACUGCCCCAUCCUUUUUUUGGUACAUGUAGGACAUAACAAAUUAGUUAUCCAAUUCUGUGUUUGGUAGUUUUUAGACAAAACUAGACAAAGGGAAAAAAUGGCAAUAACACCAUUUAUUUAUUUAUCCUUGUUGUGUUGUAAUUAACAGGACAUGAUAACAUUGAAUAGUGAAAAUGGCAGAGCAAAACCUAUUCGCAUGCACUGUAAUUGUGUGUGCAUGUGUGUGUGUGUGUAGAAAACAUUGAUCAAACCAACUAACUAUUGGCUGGAGUGGCAGAAAAUGGCAGAAAGAAACCUAAGCGCGUGCUAGCAAUUUCACCUUUGGAGGCUAAUGUAACAAGAUUGAAACCACUUUGAGGUGUAUAAUAAAGAAAUGAAAAAAACUCUAGAUAUAAAUGGAGAACAAACAGGUAAAAGGGUACAAACAGGUAAAAGGGUAUCCCUAGUGCAAGAGGCAAAAACAGGAAUUAAUUGCAAAAGCAAAUGUUUAAGAAGAAAGAAUCACAAAUAAAAGGUAAAUGAAAGAAACUAAUUCAGAAUUCCUUAAGCACAUAAAGGACCGGCAAUGAUUUUUCAGGAACCAAAAAGAGAUAUUCUCUUAAGCAAAACUAUUUCUCGGCACUCUAGAAGGUAUUGGAAAACAAUGUUUGAAAACCUAUGUGUUAUUGGACAUAGGUAGAAAAAGAAAAAGUAAUUAGACAUUAAUGAAAAAUUCAGAUAAGGAGCAAAUGAUGAUGUUUAAUCAGCAUAGAAGUGAGAUCUUAACCAUCUAUUCACUUCUUUCAAUUCCUCCCCAUGUGAGUAGUUUUAAGAACUCUAUGCAGUAAGAAGCAUAAUAUGAUCAAAAUAUUUCAAACAGCAAUAAUGCAAAACCACAUUUAGCAAACACAUAGUUAAUAGCAUAUCAUAUAAUGAAUAAGUUUAAACACUAAGGUUAAAGGCUGUCAUGUGAUUACCUUCUCUAUAUUUUCUUCAU
Molecule: unclassified non-coding RNA, 1618 nt
Filed under: Hevea brasiliensis (rubber tree)
Lineage: Eukaryota; Viridiplantae; Streptophyta; Magnoliopsida; Malpighiales; Euphorbiaceae
Source: RNAcentral